CCUGGCGGCGGGCUUACACAUGCAAGUCGAAGGAGAAGGAAGGAGCUUGCUCUUUCUGGAGACUGGCGCACGGGUGAGUAACGCGUAGACAACCUGCCUAUAGCUGGGGGAUAACAUCUCGAAAGAGGUGCUAAUACCGCAUAAUGCAGCGGGGCCGCAUGGUCACAGUUGUUAAAGCCUUCGGGCGGCUAUAGAUGGGUCUGCGUGCCAUUAGUUAGUUGGUAGGGUAACGGCCUACCAAGGCGAUGAUGGCUAGGGGGUCUGAGAGGAUGAUCCCCCACACUGGGACUGAGACACGGCCCAGACUCCUACGGGAGGCAGCAGUGAGGAAUCUUGCGCAAUGGAGGAAACUCUGACGCAGCCACGCCGCGUGCCGGAAGAAGGCCCUAUGGGUUGUAAACGGCUUUUAAUUGGGAAGAAGGAUAGGGUUUUGAUCUUAUUUGACGGUACCGAUUGAAUAAGCACCGGCUAACUCCGUGCCAGCAGCCGCGGUAAUACGGAGGGUGCAAGCGUUGUCCGGAAUCAUUGGGUGUAAAGGGUGCGUAGGCUGGCUCUUAAGUCUGAGGUGAAAUCUUGCCGCUUAACGGUAAAAUGGCCUUGGAUACUGGGAGUCUUGAAUCUGACAGAGGUCGGUGGAAUUCGUAGUGUAGCGGUGAAAUGCAUAGAUAUUACGAAGAACACCAGUGGCGAAGGCGGCCGGCUGGGUCAGUAUUGACGCUGAGGCACGAGAGCGUGGGGAGCGAACAGGAUUAGAUACCCUGGUAGUCCACGCUGUAAACGAUGUAUGCUAGUUGUUGGGGC
Molecule: ribosomal RNA, 801 nt
Filed under: uncultured bacterium
Lineage: Bacteria
Description: bacterial SSU rRNA
Rfam family: Bacterial small subunit ribosomal RNA
Source: RNAcentral